CUGAAAAGCACCCUAUUCUCCUGUAGCUAUUGAGAUGGUGGUGACCUCUGGCAGACAAGCUUCAGGAGUGUUCCCUUUAAUCAGACUAUACACCAAAGUCUGAUUAUGCUCUGCUUUGAUAACAUCUAUCUCAGUUCCAACUGGAAUGUCCUCUGAAACCAUGUAAGAAUAAAAUGGUUCUGAAAAUUUUGGAAGAGACACUUCUGGUGGGAGUAUUCUAGCGUAAACGGGAACAACUGACUCUUUCUGGGGGGAUCCGCCAUCAACAGCUCUAACAAAAAAGACUCGGCUUCAAUAGUAUAUGUGAUGUCUGCAUUUGUACCCUCAUCGGCAUCAGACGCCCAGACUUUAAUGACAGAAGUUCCCCGGGGAACAUCAGAUCCAAUAUUUACU
Molecule: long non-coding RNA, 393 nt
Filed under: Gallus gallus (chicken)
Lineage: Eukaryota; Metazoa; Chordata; Aves; Galliformes; Phasianidae
Source: RNAcentral